GAAAAACGCACCCAACUAUACCUAGCUGGAAUUCAAUUUUCCCAAAAAUUCAUCGUUAAAUUGAGUGCAAGAUUUUUCAUUUUCUUAAAAAAAUCAAAGAUUUUGCUACUUCAAGAACCCUAUUUCUCUUUUGAUUCAAAGAAGUUAUCAUAUUUUCUGCUAUUGACGAAAUCCCCCAUUUGAAGAGCUUCAUUGGGUAAUCAAAACUAUGGCAGAUGAAGGUUUGGUUUCUCAUAAAAGAGACCCCAUCAAAGCUUCAGUUGGCAAUGCUGCAGCACAGCGAAGACGGCAACAUGCUGUUACAGUGGGGAAGGAAAGGAGAGAAGCCCUGAUGCGGACAAAGCGUCUAUGCAGAGUUGGAGUUAGUGCUGAUUUUGAUGAGGCCUCUAUGGAUGAUAGUGACAUGAUGAUUGAAGAAGAUCAAGCAAUUUUGGAGGCCUUGACUUCGGCAGCUGUGGAAGAAUUAAAGCUUGAUGUUGCCUACCAGGGUAAAGGGGCAACAGAGAAAAGAGUGAAUGCUCUUCGUGAGCUGAGACGCUUUCUCUCUAGGUCGGAAUUCCCUCCUGUUGAA
Molecule: unclassified non-coding RNA, 571 nt
Filed under: Hevea brasiliensis (rubber tree)
Lineage: Eukaryota; Viridiplantae; Streptophyta; Magnoliopsida; Malpighiales; Euphorbiaceae
Source: RNAcentral